UACGUAGGGCGGCAAGCGUUAUCCGGAAUUAUUGGGCGUAAAGCGCGUGUAGGCGGCUAGGUAAGUCUGCUCUGAAAGCCCGGGGCUCAACCCCGGGAGGCGGGUGGAUACUGUCUAGCUCGAGUCCCGGAAGAGGAGUGUGGAAUUCCUGGUGUAGCGGUGAAAUGCGAGAUAAUCAGGAGGAACACCAAUGGCGAAGGCAGCACUCUGGGACGGUGACUGACGCUGAGAC
RNAcentral lists this ribosomal RNA (232 nucleotides) under uncultured bacterium. Its description in RNAcentral is "partial 16S ribosomal RNA". It matches the Rfam family "Bacterial small subunit ribosomal RNA", at positions 524 to 752 of the family's 1533-position model. The record is from RNAcentral.